CGUAGGGUGCAAGCGUUAAUCGGAAUUACUGGGCGUAAAGCGUGCGCAGGCGGUUAUGUAAGACAGGUGUGAAAUCCCCGGGCUUAACCUGGGAACUGCAUUUGUGACUGCAUAGCUAGAGUACGGUAGAGGGGGAUGGAAUUCCGCGUGUAGCAGUGAAAUGCGUAGAUAUGCGGAGGAACACCGAUGGCGAAGGCAAUCCCCUGGACCUGUACUGACGCUCAUGCACGAAAGCGUGGGGAGCAAACAGGAUUAGAUACCCUGGUAGUCCACGCCCUAAACGAUGUCAACUGGUUGUUGGGUCUUCACUGACUCAGUAACGAAGCUAACGCGUGAAGUUGACCGCCUGGGGAGUACCGCCGCAAGGUUG
This 370-nucleotide ribosomal RNA is filed under the name uncultured organism. RNAcentral describes it as "bacterial SSU rRNA". It matches the Rfam family "Bacterial small subunit ribosomal RNA", at positions 526 to 896 of the family's 1533-position model. The record is from RNAcentral.